CCUACGGGCGACAGCAGUGAGGAAUAUUGGUCAAUGGACGAGAGUCUGAACCAGCCAAGUAGCGUGAAGGAUGACUGCCCUAUGGGUUGUAAACUUCUUUUAUAUGGGAAUAAAAUGUUCCACGUGUGGGUUUUUGUAUGUACCAUAUGAAUAAGGAUCGGCUAACUCCGUGCCAGCAGCCGCGGUAAUACGGAGGAUCCGAGCGUUAUCCGGAUUUAUUGGGUUUAAAGGGAGCGUAGGUGGAUUGUUAAGUCAGUUGUGAAAGUUUGCGGCUCAACCGUAAAAUUGCAGUUGAAACUGGCAGUCUUGAGUACAGUAGAGGUGGGCGGAAUUCGUGGUGUAGCGGUGAUAUGCUUAGAUAUCACGAAGAACUCCGAUUGCGAAGGCAGCUCACUGGACUGCAACUGACACUGAGGCUCGAAAGUGUGGGUAUCAAACAGGAUUAGAUACCCGGGUAGUC
RNAcentral lists this ribosomal RNA (460 nucleotides) under uncultured bacterium. RNAcentral describes it as "partial 16S ribosomal RNA". It matches the Rfam family "Bacterial small subunit ribosomal RNA", at positions 338 to 795 of the family's 1533-position model. The record is from RNAcentral.